GACGAACGCUGGCGGCGUGCCUAAUACAUGCAAGUUGAGCGCUGAAGGCUGGUACUUGUACCAACUGGGUGAGCAGCGAACGGGUGAGUAACGCGUGGGGAAUCUGCUUUUGAGCGGGGGACAACAUUGGGAAACGAAUGCUAAUACCGCAUAAAAACUUUAAACACAAGUUUUAAGGGUGAAAGAUGCAAUUUCGGUACUUAAAGAUGAUCUCGCGUUGUAUUAGCUUGUUGGUGGGGUAAAGGCUUACCAAGGCGAUGAUGGAUAGCCGACCUGAGCGGGUGACCGGCCGCAUCAGACCUGAGAUGCGGCCAAGAGUCCUACGGGAGGGAGCAGUGGGGAAUGUUGCACAAUGGGCGGACGCGUGAUGCAGGAACGUUGCGGGCGGGAAAACGGCUUUCGGGUUGGAAACCGGUUUGGCCUGGGACGAAGCGUGAGAGGCGGUAAUGGCUAAAGAAGCAGCGGCUAACUACGUG
RNAcentral lists this ribosomal RNA (476 nucleotides) under uncultured bacterium. Its description in RNAcentral is "partial 16S ribosomal RNA". It matches the Rfam family "Bacterial small subunit ribosomal RNA", at positions 28 to 507 of the family's 1533-position model. The record is from RNAcentral.